Molecule: transfer RNA, 73 nt
Filed under: Camelus bactrianus (Bactrian camel)
Lineage: Eukaryota; Metazoa; Chordata; Mammalia; Artiodactyla; Camelidae
Also listed under: 2 other names
Rfam family: tRNA
About the family: Transfer RNA (tRNA) molecules are approximately 80 nucleotides in length. Their secondary structure includes four short double-helical elements and three loops (D, anti-codon, and T loops). Further hydrogen bonds mediate the characteristic L-shaped molecular structure. tRNAs have two regions of fundamental functional importance: the anti-codon, which is responsible for specific mRNA codon recognition, and the 3' end, to which the tRNAs corresponding amino acid is attached (by aminoacyl-tRNA synthetases). tRNAs cope with the degeneracy of the genetic code in two manners: having more than one tRNA (with a specific anti-codon) for a particular amino acid; and 'wobble' base-pairing, i.e. permitting non-standard base-pairing at the 3rd anti-codon position.
Source: Rfam by way of RNAcentral
GAGGGUAUAGCUCAAGUGGUAGAGUGCAUGCUUAGCAGGCAUGAGGUCCUGAGUUCAUUCCCCAGCACCUCCA